GACCAAGGAGUCUAACAUGUGCGCGAGUCGUAGGGUUACGCUCAAAGCCCGAAGGCGCAAUGAAAGUGAAGGUCGGCCUCGAUUGCCGUUACCUAGGCGGGAUCCGUUCGGGCUUACCGGUCGUUCGCGGCUGAGCCCGGCGGCGCACCGCCGGCCCGUCUCGACCGCAUCGCCGGUGAGGCGGAGCGAGAGCGUACACGUUGGGACCCGAAAGAUGGUGAACUAUGCCCGGGCAGGACGAAGCCAGAGGAAACUCUGGUGGAGGUCCGUAGCGAUUCUGACGUGCAAAUCGAUCGUCGGACCUGGGUAUAGGGGUGAAAGACUAAUCGAACCAUCUAGUAGCUGGUUCCCUCCGAAGUUUCCCUCAGGAUAGCUGGUGCUCGAGGAGGGCAGUCUCAUCCGAUAAAGCAAAUGAUUAGAGGCCUUGGGGCCGAAACGACCUCAACCUAUUCUCAAACUUUCAAUGGGUGAGAAGUCCGGCUUGCUGACUGAAGCCCGA
RNAcentral lists this ribosomal RNA (499 nucleotides) under Craterostigmus tasmanianus. RNAcentral describes it as "eukaryotic LSU rRNA". It matches the Rfam family "Eukaryotic large subunit ribosomal RNA", at positions 664 to 1105 of the family's 3401-position model. The record is from RNAcentral. Lineage: Eukaryota; Metazoa; Arthropoda; Chilopoda; Craterostigmomorpha; Craterostigmidae.